Regulatory RNA element from Desulfopila aestuarii DSM 18488, 78 nucleotides. It matches the Rfam family "c-di-GMP-I-GGC riboswitch aptamer". Lineage: Bacteria; Pseudomonadati; Thermodesulfobacteriota; Desulfobulbia; Desulfobulbales; Desulfocapsaceae. The record is from Rfam.
CUUAGAAAAGGCAAACUCAGGGAAACUUGAGGACGCAAAACCACGGGCCGUAUAACAAUGGCAGCCGGGUCGCAGAUA